CAAUGGCUGGAUUUGGAAGUUCUUCAACUGGUGAGUCUCUAUACUAUUAGGAACCUAUUAUGUUUCAUUUCUUAUUCAAUGUGCAUUGUUUGUGGAAUUGAUCCUUGUUUAAGAUGUUAAGAUUUUGUCAUUUACAUCAUUCAUAUAACUGUGGGGAUAGUUGAUGUGCAAUCAGAUCCUAAUUUCUAUGUCACUAAAAACCAGAUUAGCUUUUUUUUUUUGAUGUUGUAAUGCUCAGUGUAUUCUGCUUUUUGUUUUUCGGUUUUGACAUUGCAUUCAUGUGGUUCAUUGAAUUACAUUUUGAUUUUUUAAGAACAAUUUACAUCAUACGAGUGAUAUGACAAUGACAGGCUGAGAUUUUAUGGGUUUAUUUUAACAUGGAAUUGGAACCAAGUUCACAAGCACACUCAUCCACAAUGACGUCUCUUCUUCUUUAUACACUAUCUAUCAAUUUAUUUCAAAGGAAAGGAUUGCGGAUAAUGUGAGAUGCUGAAGGGGUAGAAAGCGAAGCCUCAAGGUCAAUGAAACAGCUAGCAUUAAUGCUCGACCAAAGUGAUGCGGUUCAAGUUGCUGAAAGCACUGUCUUUGUUAUUUCCUUGUGAAGAAGCUAUAUGAAAAGGUAAUUUGGCCUCAAGAGCAUCCUCUUUCUCUGCGGGUUAUGACCUUUCAAGUGCAACUGAGAUAAAGGCGCUUGCCAGAGGAAAAGCUCAGGUCUUAACUAAUGGGCAUUACCAUUGUGCAAGGAACCUACGCAUGAAUUGGAUUAGUUCUAGAGUAACGAGAAAAAAAGAGAUGCUCCGAGGUAGUCGGAAGGUCUCUACGGGGCAAAACCUAGGUUUCACAAUAGUGGCGGCGGGCUCUUUGCUCCCCCGACCAAACAAGGGCAGGUCUACAACAGCUCGGGCUCUGAGAAACAUUGUUUUCUAGAGCGAUAGCACUGAGAUCUCUCUCGAGAUGUUCCACAAGCUCUAGACAUGUAGGUCUAUGGCCGCGAAUUUGAAGAAUGGUUUGGUGAUUUGUGUUGGGGUAGGUCUUCGUAUCUCCUCUAUGACUGCUAUUGAAGAGGAGCCGUUGCUAGGGCGGGUCGUAUUAGCCGGGUUGACGGGGGAUUUGUCAACCAUGGUCGAAGUGGGACUGAACUGGUGGUGACGAAGCCAGCAAUGCUCAUGGAUAGGUCGGCGGUGAGCGGUCUGUCUUAUCGGAACUGGUCUUGGGCUCCAGUGGCAUGGAUGACACACGUCACCGGUUAAAGCAGCGAAAGAGACUGCGCUUCAUUAUUUGGGGUUGGGCUCUUGUGGCAUGGAUGGCGCACGUCACCGGCCAGAGGCGGCGGAAGAGACUACGCUUCAUUAUUUGGGGUUGGGCUCUUGUGUCUGGGCCUGGGCUUGGCCUCAAGAAAGCUCAGGUAUGGGGCUGGGUUGUUGAACUUGGGGAUGCUAAUGGCCUCCAUGCGGAGGCGAAGGGCGAGUAAUUUUCAUGCUUGCAUUAGAAAGAUCCUCCCUUUUGUUUUUUCUUUCGAUUUACUAACAUUGAGAGUACGCAAAUUGAUGUCCUGGGCUUGAUGUGUUAGUAUUUUUUGUCGUUAGAUUAAACGCAAGGGAGUUACUAUGUUUUUGCUUUGCAUUAGUUUUCCGUUUUUCAUUUCGGACUUUUCAAACUUUGGUUUGUAUAAUAGUCGUGUUUUUGCGCUUUUAUUUGUUUUCUUAAUUGUUAGCGUGUAUGAGAGAUAACAUGUCAUUUCUUGUAUUUAAUCCUUGUA
Molecule: long non-coding RNA, 1759 nt
Organism: Argentina anserina (silverweed cinquefoil)
Lineage: Eukaryota; Viridiplantae; Streptophyta; Magnoliopsida; Rosales; Rosaceae
Exons: 4
Source: RefSeq, a predicted model, not a curated record